Molecule: ribosomal RNA, 382 nt
Filed under: uncultured eukaryote
Lineage: Eukaryota
Description: partial 18S ribosomal RNA
Rfam family: Eukaryotic small subunit ribosomal RNA
Source: RNAcentral
CAAUAGCGUAUAUUAAAGUUGUUGCAGUUAAAAAGCUCGUAGUUGGAUUUCUGGUUGGAGCGACCGGUCGGGCGUUGAUUCGUCUGCACUGGAGUCGGUUUUGGCCAUCCUCUAGGAAAGUGCGUCUGGUAUUAAGUUAUCGGGCGUAUGAUCCUGGUCUUUUACUGUGAAAAAAUUAGAGUGUUUAAAGCAGGCCUUCGCCUUGAAUACAUUAGCAUGGAAUAAUAAGAUAGGACUUUGGUCUAUUUUGUUGGUUUGCAGACCGAAGUAAUGAUUAAUAGGGAUAGUUGGGGGUAUUUAUAUUCCGAUGUCAGAGGUGAAAUUCUUAGAUUUUCGGAAGAUAAACUUAUGCGAAAGCAUUUACCAAGGAUGUUUUCAUUGA